RNAcentral lists this unclassified non-coding RNA (342 nucleotides) under soil metagenome. RNAcentral describes it as "partial contains 5.8S ribosomal RNA, internal transcribed spacer 2, and large subunit ribosomal RNA". The stretch from base 1 to 120 matches the Rfam family "5.8S ribosomal RNA", at positions 35 to 154 of the family's 154-position model. The record is from RNAcentral.
GAUGAAGAACGCAGCGAAAUGCGAUAAGUAAUGUGAAUUGCAGAAUUCAGUGAAUCAUCGAAUCUUUGAACGCACAUUGCGCCCGCUAGUAUUCUGGCGGGCAUGCCUGUCCGAGCGUCAUUUCAACCCUCAAGCCCCCGGGCUUGGUGUUGGGGAUCGGCGAGCCUCCGCGCCCGCCGUCCCCUAAAUCUAGUGGCGGUCUCGCUGUAGCUUCCUCUGCGUAGUAGCACACCUCGCACUGGGAAACAGCGCGGCCACGCCGUUAAACCCCCAACUUCUGAACGUUUGACCUCGGAUCAGGUAGGAAUACCCGCUGAACUUAAGCAUAUCAAUAAGGGAGGA